Molecule: ribosomal RNA, 255 nt
Filed under: Haemophilus influenzae
Lineage: Bacteria; Pseudomonadati; Pseudomonadota; Gammaproteobacteria; Pasteurellales; Pasteurellaceae
Description: partial 16S ribosomal RNA
Rfam family: Bacterial small subunit ribosomal RNA
Source: RNAcentral
UAUGGAGGGGGAUAACGACGGGAAACUGUCGCUAAUACCGCGUAAUAUCGAAAGAUUAAAGUGUGGGACCUUCGGGCCACAUGCCAUAGGAUGAGCCCAAGUGGGAUUAGGUAGUUGGUGGGGUAAAAGCCUACCAAGCCUGCGAUCUCUAGCUGGUCUGAGAGGAUGACCAGCCACACUGGAACUGAGACACGGUCCAGACUCCUACGGGAGGCAGCAGUGGGGAAUAUUGCGCAAUGGGGGGAACCCUGACGC